ACCCAAGUAGCUCAGUCGGCAGAGCAGGAGACGCUUCGUCUUAGGGUCGUGGGUUCGAAUCCCGCGUUGGGCA
This is a non-coding RNA of Podarcis lilfordi (Lilford's wall lizard), 73 nucleotides long. The record is from the annotation of a GenBank genome assembly. Lineage: Eukaryota; Metazoa; Chordata; Lepidosauria; Squamata; Lacertidae.